GACGAACGCUGGCGGCGUGCCUAAUACAUGCAAGUAGAACGCACAGUUUAUACCGUAGCUUGCUACACCAUAAACUGUGAGUUGCGAACGGGUGAGUAACGCGUAGUUAACCCGCCUGGUAGCGGGGGAUAACUAUUGUAAACGAUAGCUAAUACCGCAUAAUAUUGAUUAUUGCAUGAUAAUUGAUUGAAAGAUGCUAUUGCAUCACUACCAGCUGGACCUUCGUUGUAUUAGCUAGUAGGUGAGGUAACGGCUCACCUAGGCGACGAUACAUAGCCGACCUGGGAGGGUGAUCGGCCACACUGGGACUGAGACACGGCCCAGACGACUAAGGGAGGCAGCAGUAGGGAAUCUUCGGCAAUGGACGAAAGUCUGACCGAGCAACGCCGCGUGAGUGAAGAAGGUUUUCGGAUCGUAAAGCUCUGUUGUAAGAGAAGAACGGGUGUGAGAGUGGAAAGUUCACACUGUGACGGUAUCUUACCAGAAAGGGACGGCUAACUACGUG
Molecule: ribosomal RNA, 505 nt
Filed under: uncultured bacterium
Lineage: Bacteria
Description: partial 16S ribosomal RNA
Rfam family: Bacterial small subunit ribosomal RNA
Source: RNAcentral